UGCUUGCAAUCCGCUGACGACCGGCGAACGGGUGCGUAACGCGUAUGCAACCUACCUUUUACAGGGGAAUAGCCCAAAGAAAUUUGGAAUAAUACCCCAUAAGAUCUUUAAUUGGCAUCAAUCAAAGAAGAAAACUCCGGUGGUAAAAGAUGGGCAUGCGUCCUAUUAGUUAGUUGGUAAGGUAACGGCUUACCAAGACUUCGAUAGGUAGGGGUCCUGAGAGGGAGAUCCCCCACACUGGUACUGAGACACGGACCAGACUCCUACGGGAGGCAGCAGUGAGGAAUAUUGGACAAUGGAGGCAACUCUGAUCCAGCCAUGCCGCGUGCAGGAAGACUGCCCUAUGGGUUGUAAACUGCUUUUAUACAGGAAGAAUUGCAUCUACGUGUAGUUGCUUGACGGUACUGUACGAAUAAGGAUCGGC
Molecule: ribosomal RNA, 424 nt
Filed under: uncultured Flavobacteriaceae bacterium
Lineage: Bacteria; Pseudomonadati; Bacteroidota; Flavobacteriia; Flavobacteriales; Flavobacteriaceae
Description: bacterial SSU rRNA
Rfam family: Bacterial small subunit ribosomal RNA
Source: RNAcentral